CGCUGGCGGCGUGCUUAACACAUGCAAGUCGAACGGAAUUACGCUUAACACCGAUUCUUUUAUAGAAGGUGCAAUGCGAAGACGUGAUGCGGUGAAUGAACGAAGUGAAUUCACCACGCAUUAAAAAGUGCAAACACCAAGAGGAAUGGGUGUUGAGCGUAAUUUAGUGGCGAACGGGUGAGUAACGCGUAGACAACCUACCUUUUAGAUGGGGACAACAUCGCGAAAGCGGUGCUAAUACCGAAUGUUGAUAAUGAAAUGCAUGUUUCGUUAUUUAAAGAUGGCCUCUAUAUAUAAGCUAUCGCUAAAAGAUGGGUCUGCGUCUGAUUAGCUAGUUGGUGAGAUAACAGCCCACCAAGGCAACGAUCAGUAGCCGGUCUGAGAGGAUGAACGGCCACAUUGGGACUGAGACACGGCCCAAACUCCUACGGGAGGCAGCAGUGGGGAAUCUUCCGCAAUGGACGAAAGUCUGACGGAGCAACGCCGCGUGAGUGAAGAAGGUUUUAGGAUCGUAAAGCUCUGUUGUUUAGGACGAAUGUGCCUUAUGCGAAUAGUAUGAGGUAAUGACGGUACUAAACGAGAAAGCCACGGCUAACUACGUGCCAGCAGCCGCGGUAAUACGUAGGUGGCAAGCGUUGUCCGGAAUUAUCGGGCGUAAAGGGAGCGCAGGUGGGAAAAAUAAGUCUGUUUUAAAAGUGCGGGGCUCAACCCCGUGAUGGAAUGGAAACUG
RNAcentral lists this ribosomal RNA (730 nucleotides) under uncultured organism. RNAcentral describes it as "SSU rRNA". It matches the Rfam family "Bacterial small subunit ribosomal RNA", at positions 34 to 635 of the family's 1533-position model. The record is from RNAcentral.